ACCGGCAGCUCAAUUUUUUUCCAUUUUUAUUUUUCCUCCCUCGUUCCUCCUCGACAUCAAAAUUCUCUAAAAAAAUCCCUCAUCUUAACUGUGGGACUUGCUGGAGAUACUAUUAGACUUGAGGUCGGGAGAGGUUAGGGGUACUCCCAGUCUAGGGGUGAAAUCCUUUUCUGAUGGAUUUUUUUUCUUUUUGUAAUGCGUUUGGCUGGAACGAACCUGACGGUGAGGAACGAAAGCCAGGGGCGCGAACCG
Molecule: ribosomal RNA, 252 nt
Filed under: uncultured prokaryote
Description: partial 16S rRNA
Rfam family: Archaeal small subunit ribosomal RNA
Source: RNAcentral